RNAcentral lists this long non-coding RNA (2013 nucleotides) under Mustela putorius furo (domestic ferret). RNAcentral's name for it is "lncRNA (ENSMPUG00000024272.1)". Lineage: Eukaryota; Metazoa; Chordata; Mammalia; Carnivora; Mustelidae. The record is from RNAcentral.
UGCUCCGCUUCUACUUCAUGUCCCUGCCUGUCACUAAGCCUGUUCCUCCAGCAGGAGGGCUCCCCUCCAUGGUAACACCCUGGCAGGCAGUAUCGGGGAGCUACCAAGUCCUCUCCUGCCGGCUUGAGGGGAGAUUCAGACAGACUCGCUGAUGUGGCCUCAGCUCUGUGACUUCUUCCUUCCUGCUUUUCUGUCGAUGCUCCGGGAAGGGAGCCAGACGUUGGAUGGUGUUCGUUUCUGCAGAUUCUCCUCCACUCCCUUCUCUGCCUUCCAAAUCAGUGGGAACCAGUGCACUGAAGACAGCUGUAAGAGACCAGCUCCAUGAGGAUGUUCCAAGGGGAGUCAAGAACAUCUUCCAGGAGGGCUUGAGAAGACGUUGUCCCACCCAUGAAAACCAAAUGAAGAAACUGACUCUUCAAGGAUUUGAUUGACCUGCUCAUCAUGACAAAGACUGGAAAGAAAGAGAAAGCCCCAUCCUUCUUUGAUGCAAGAACCUAGCAGUUGAACACAGUGCUAUGGGCAUUUCUGAUCUUCACUGAUCAGUAAUACAUGGCAGAGCUUCGGAAAUUCUAGAAGAAAGGAGCAAAGUAUUCUAGGGGCUAAAGUCUGACCAAGUGCCAAGAGACUACAGAGAUGAGGCUCUUUUUGUCUGGAAAGUCAAAUGUGUGUGAGAUAGGAGAAGUAAAGCCUGCAAAAACAUGGUAGAGAGGUAGACACGGACUAAUCCAAAAAUCUGAAAACUGGGAGAGGGACAACAGCCUCCAAAGCUUGAAAAAGGCAAUUUUAGGACAAAUGAAGUCUAGGACUUCUUUUCGCAGUGAGCAUUGAGUUAAUAGGACUCAUUAUUUUGAAAUGUGGUAUAGGAUUAAAAUGUAAAUAAAUGGUCUUAAAUUUACUUAUUUAUAUAUGCAAUCACAUUUAUUGAAGACAUACUAUAUAGUAGGCACUGUGCUAGGAGAUGGGGAUUCAGAAUUGAAUAGUACACAGUCGGCUCACUCAUAUUCUAACAAGAGGCAGACAUGUUGAUUACUCAGUCCACAUAUGCUGAUUGAGCACCACGUGGGCCAGAUCCUGUGCUAGCUCUGCAGAUAAACUGGUGAGCAAAAGAGAAAUCCCUCCUGCUCUCCUUGAGCCCACAGUUUCUUAAAGAAGGCAGAUGUUAGAGAAAUAAUUAAAUUAUAACACACGACUAAAUUAGUCACUAAUGAGCUUGAUGUUGUAAGAGAGAAGUACAGGGAGUUUUAGGAAUAUACAAAGAGAGGUCAUUAUGUAGUCUAGGGAGUCAUAAAAGAUCUCCUUGAGGAAUUUAGGAGUAAGCUGACAACAGGAGGCUGAACAGCAGUGAAGUUGGCAACGAGGAUGGGUGGGGAUGGGGGGAAGAACAUUCAUAGAGGGAACAUCGUGUGACAAAGGGUGGAAAAGAGUUAUUUGAGGAACUGAAAGAUGUCUAGUAUGGCUGUGUUGGAGGAAACAGUAGGGGCAAGAAUGGGCUAGAGUAGGUUUUUUUCUGUUGUGCUCUGUUGUCCCCAGAGGCUGAACACUAAAAACUGCAUCAUCUGGGCUAUGUAGCCCUCUGGCUUCUAGUUGGGUCUGCACAACAGAAGCAUGAGUAGGAGAUCAGAGAUCAUAGUGGAGAGAAGGCAUGACAUUUCUCCUACUCUCCCCCAUUUGGGUGCUGAGGUUCUGGCAACUGUUGUAUCUUAUAACAGUAGUUCCUGUUGGUGGCCCUACUUCCAUGGCCCCAGUUUGAUUAGUUUUGGUAACACCCUUUUUGUUCACUCUGUGCAUUAAAGCCUACCAGUCACAAUGACUUCCCACUGUUGCUAGUCCCAAGUACCUUAAUCUCCCUUUUUCUUCCUUUAACUUUUGUAAACCUUCUCUUUAUUAAACUGUCUUUAAAUUCCAGUUGAGGGUGCCUUCUGUUUUCUGCUCAGGAGACUCACUGAAGGUCCCACCAAGGACUUUGGACUUAGUCCUGGGCAAUGAUAAGAUGUUUAUAAGAUUUCAGCAAAG